RNAcentral lists this long non-coding RNA (2431 nucleotides) under Carassius auratus (goldfish). RNAcentral's name for it is "lncRNA (ENSCARG00000046502.1)". Lineage: Eukaryota; Metazoa; Chordata; Actinopteri; Cypriniformes; Cyprinidae. The record is from RNAcentral.
CAUUGCCAUGUUUUAACACAUGAUUAUAAAAAUAAGUUGUCCAUAAAUGUUACUUAAUUGUGAGUUAAAUUUCUCUAAUUUUAUGUUUUGUCUUCAGGAACAUUAUCAGUCAUUCAAGCUAUGAUAUCCUGGCAGAUCUACUUCCUGAAAAGAAGACUCAGCAGAUCUUUUCAAGACACACUAGAUGGAGCGCGGAGAGACCGGACAGUUCCCACAGUGCCAGUUUUUCAGCACCCACACCCCAAACACAAAUUCAUAUAGAAGUUUUCAAUAAUAAAAUGUUCAUAUGAUAGUUUAUAUUUAGCUAUGAAGCAAUAGUUUAUUGUCAUAAAUAUUAAACUAAAUAUUAAAGUCCUUCUGUAGUGAAAAUCAAGUUUUUAUGCUGUUUUUUUGUCUUUGUGGCAUUAAAUAUUGCUACAUCACAAUCCAAUAACCAAUCACAUCUAAGAAUAAUUUCCUAUAGCAUGCCAAUACCAGCGCACAAGCACAAAGCUAAAGACAAAUUAUAGCAAAAAAAAUUAGAUUAAAUAUUUGACUACAGGGGACUUACAUUUUUUUUUUUACAAGAUAUGAAAUUUUCACCAGUCUGUUCAAUGUGUUGAAAGUGAAAGUGAUUAUCUUUAAUAAUUCAGAUACCUGUUGAAAUGCACAUGUAAUUGAAUGCUUGCUUGGAUCUGGGAUGUUGUGUUAAUAAAUAUUAUGCUGAAAGAGAAUGUUGCAACAGUGCUAACCUGAAAAUAAAAUUUUAUUAAGCUACACUUUGUAAUGUUCAAAUUAAAGUUUAUACAAUGUUUUAUUCUUAAUAAAAUUUAAGUGGAAAGAACAUUGUAGGCACAUUAUGCUGACCAUAAAAUGAAGUUCCAACAUUUUAAUGUUCUUGGAAUUUUCCAAAUAAAUGUGAAUAGAAUAUUGUGUUUAAAUGAAAAUUAGGUUGCAGGAACGUUAUGCUGACCAUACUGUAAAAUAAUGUUCUAGCAACGUUAAGCAAACUAGACAUUUUAACGUUAUUGGAAUGUUCAAAACAAAUGUUCAUAGAACGUUAUAUUUUUUAAGAAAUGUAAGUUUCAAGAACGUUGUAGGAACGUUAUACUAACCAUAAAAAACGUUCUGGGAACAUUAAGCAAACUGGACAUUUCAACGUUUUUGGAACAUUCUAAAUAAACGUUCAUAAAACGUUAUAUUUUUUAUGAAAUGUAAGUUUCAAGAACGUUGUAGGAACGUUAUACUAACCAUAAAAAAACGUUCUGGGAACAUUAAGCAAACUGGACAUUUCAACGUUUUUGGAACAUUCUAAAUAAACGUUCAUAGAACGUUAUAUUUUUUAUGAAAUGUAAGUUUCAAGAACGUUGUAGGAACGUUAUUCUAACCAUAAAAAAACGUUCUGGGAACAUUAAGCAAACUGGACAUUUCAACGUUUUUGGAACAUUCUAAAUAAACGUUCAUAAAACGUUAUAUUUUUUAUGAAAUGUAAGUUUCAAGAACGUUGUAGGAACGUUAUACUAACCAUAAAAAAACAUUCUGGGAACAUCAAGCAAACUGGACAUUUCAACGUUUUUGGAACAUUCUAAAUAAACGUUCAUAGAACGUUAUAUUUUUUAUGAAAUGUAAGUUUCAAGAACGUUGUAGGAACGUUAUACUAACCAUAAAAAACGUUCUGGGAACAUUAAGCAAACUGGACAUUUCAACGUUUUUGGAACAUUCUAAAUAAACGUUCAUAGAACGUUAUAUUUUUUAUGAAAUGUAAGUUUCAAGAACGUUGUAGGAACGUUAUACUAACCAUAAAAAAACGUUCUGGGAACAUUAAGCAAACUGGACAUUUUAACGUUUUUGGAACAUUCUAAAUAAACGUUCAUAGAACGUUAUAUUUUUUAUGAAAUGUAAGUUUCAAGAACGUUGUAGGAACGUUAUACUAACCAUAAAAAAACGUUCUUGGAACAUUAAACAAACUGGACAUUUCAACGUUAUUUGCAACAUUCAAAAUAACGUUUCCACAACCAAAAGGGAACGUUAGGAAAACGUUCUCACAACAUAAAUUUGUUAGCUGGGGUGUGAGAGGCACCGUCUUUAUUUUAUGUUUUAUUUAAUAAAAGACGUCAGCAGUAAAGCCGACCCCUUGUCCUCUUCCUUCCAACGUCUGAACUCAUUUCCAGUCACUUUUUAAGUUAAAGUCAUUUUUCAGUUUACAAUUUUAUUGUCAACAUUUUAAUACAAUCAUAGUAAUUACUUGAUCACAUAUUUUAGGUUUAAACUGAAUCAGCUUGUUGUCUUGCAGUAAUUAUUAUUUGCUGUGUUAAACACUAAGUACUGUAAAACAGAAGAAAUGCUGCUUUUGAAUUGGUUUUACGACCAAGUGUAUGUAUAGAAUGUUCUUUCUUUCUUUCUUUUCUUUCUUUCUAUUGUAUAACAUGCAAAUGCAAAUUGCUAUAUGAUC